RNAcentral lists this ribosomal RNA (240 nucleotides) under uncultured bacterium. Its description in RNAcentral is "partial 16S ribosomal RNA". It matches the Rfam family "Bacterial small subunit ribosomal RNA", at positions 15 to 244 of the family's 1533-position model. The record is from RNAcentral.
GAUCAUGGCUCAGGAUGAACGCUGGCGGCGUGCCUAAUACAUGCAAGUCGAGCGAACAGACGAGGAGCUUACUCCUCUGACGUUAGCGGCGGACGGGUGAGUAACACGUGGAUAACCUACCUAUAAGACUGGGAUAACUUCGGGAAACCGGAGCUAAUACCGGAUAACAUGUUGAACCGCAUGGUUCAACAGUGAAAGACGGUCUUGCUGUCACUUAUAGAUGGAUCCGCGUCGCAUUAG